RNAcentral lists this ribosomal RNA (549 nucleotides) under Triticum aestivum (bread wheat). RNAcentral's name for it is "partial small subunit ribosomal RNA". Lineage: Eukaryota; Viridiplantae; Streptophyta; Magnoliopsida; Poales; Poaceae. The record is from RNAcentral.
AUGGAGGAGAUGCAAAAAUCGUUGCAAGAAAUGUUGGAGCAAGUUCUAUCGGAGAAAUUUGACAAGUUCUUCCCCGAAUUGAAGAUGCCGGGCGGCGAGGGCACCAGCCUUCGCGCGGGGGUCGGCGACUUCCGCAAGGACGCGGAUGCCGUGAAGCAUGAGCAGGUGGCAUCGCCCAUACCGCAAGAACACGCUCCGCCUCCGGCGAACAGGGCAGCGAGGUUCACUUAUGGCAGCCCUCCUGCUCCAUGGGACUCAACGGGGGCUAUGGCCGACGCCAUGGCUGUACAAGGGCUACUUGUCCCCGAUCCACAGGCGGACGCACUCAGCACGGCCACCAGCUGUUCGACGGGGUGUCUCACCCAAGUCGAGCCAGCAAACCAGCAGACCGUGGGGGACUCCGUGCAGGAGCAGCGGUCCGUGCUCAAGGAGAAGCUCGAGGUCAAGCUCACAUCGCUGCAGGCCAAGCUCAACCAGUUGGUGACCGACCUCCGCGCGCGAGUCGAUGGCCAUCGCCACGGAUCUGUACGCGGUCUAGCAAGCGCGUGA